RNAcentral lists this transfer RNA (76 nucleotides) under Fervidobacterium sp. RNAcentral's name for it is "tRNA-His". It matches the Rfam family "tRNA". From Rfam's summary of the family: Transfer RNA (tRNA) molecules are approximately 80 nucleotides in length. Their secondary structure includes four short double-helical elements and three loops (D, anti-codon, and T loops). Further hydrogen bonds mediate the characteristic L-shaped molecular structure. tRNAs have two regions of fundamental functional importance: the anti-codon, which is responsible for specific mRNA codon recognition, and the 3' end, to which the tRNAs corresponding amino acid is attached (by aminoacyl-tRNA synthetases). tRNAs cope with the degeneracy of the genetic code in two manners: having more than one tRNA (with a specific anti-codon) for a particular amino acid; and 'wobble' base-pairing, i.e. permitting non-standard base-pairing at the 3rd anti-codon position. RNAcentral also lists the same sequence under 1 other name. The record is from RNAcentral. Lineage: Bacteria; Thermotogati; Thermotogota; Thermotogae; Thermotogales; Fervidobacteriaceae.
GUGGCUAUAGCUCAGUUGGAAGAGCGCCUGACUGUGGAUCAGGGGGCCGAGGGUUCAAAUCCCUCUAGCCACCCCA